RNAcentral lists this transfer RNA (528 nucleotides) under Komagataeibacter intermedius. RNAcentral describes it as "partial 16S-23S ribosomal RNA intergenic spacer". The stretch from base 152 to 225 matches the Rfam family "tRNA". The record is from RNAcentral. Lineage: Bacteria; Pseudomonadati; Pseudomonadota; Alphaproteobacteria; Acetobacterales; Acetobacteraceae.
UCCUGGCGCGAGCCUGGAUGGUUUUGGAAUGCUUCUGAUAUAAAGUCCUUGCCUGCAGGAUCGGGCAAGGCACAGCCAGAGAGGCUGCCUGCACUUCGGUGUAACGCGCCGUCAACAUAUCCCUUCCAGCGACAAUCAAUGGACCCUUUUGGGGCUAGUAGCUCAGUUGGUUAGAGCACACGCUUGAUAAGCGUGGGGUCGGAGGUUCAAGUCCUCCCUGGCCCACCAGUUCUGCUGCGUGUCCAUAGCGUUAUGGUCAUGCACUGAUGGGGGCGUAGCUCAGCUGGGAGAGCACCUGCUUUGCAAGCAGGGGGUCGUCGGUUCGAUCCCGUCCGCCUCCACCAUAAACUGGUGUUGAGAGGUCUGGGAAUGAUUGUCGCCGGAAGAUAAUGGAGAUCGGACGGAUACCUUGUGGAACCGCGUUGGCGGUGCAUGGGGUGUUGCGGUCUGGUAAGUUUGCUCUUUGAUAAUGUGAAUAGGUUGGUGCGUUUGUGGACGUGCCUUUGUCACGGGUUGGUCUGACCCGUG